GAAGUUGGAGUCGCUAGUAAUCGCAGAUCAGCAACGCUGCGGUGAAUACGUUCCCGGGCCUUGUACACACCGCCCGUCACGUCAUGAAAGUCGGUAACACCCGAAGCCGGUGGCCUAACCCUUGUGGAGGGAGCCGUCGAAGGUGGGAUCGGCGAUUGGGACGAAGUCGUAACAAGGUAGCCGUACCAGAAGGUGCGGCUGGAUCACCUCCUUU
RNAcentral lists this ribosomal RNA (214 nucleotides) under Nocardia rhamnosiphila. Its description in RNAcentral is "partial 16S ribosomal RNA". It matches the Rfam family "Bacterial small subunit ribosomal RNA", at positions 1322 to 1533 of the family's 1533-position model. Lineage: Bacteria; Bacillati; Actinomycetota; Actinomycetes; Mycobacteriales; Nocardiaceae. The record is from RNAcentral.